GGGUUGUGAGGUUAAGCGACUAAGCGUACACGGUGGAUGCCCUGGCAGUCAGAGGCGAUGAAGGACGUGCUAAUCUGCGAUAAGCGCCGGUAAGGUGAUAUGAACCGUUAUAACCGGCGAUUUCCGAAUGGGGAAACCCAGUGUGACUCGUCACACUAUCAUUAACUGAAUCCAUAGGUUAAUGAGGCGAACCGGGGGAACUGAAACAUCUAAGUACCCCGAGGAAAAGAAAUCAACCGAGAUUCCCCCAGUAGCGGCGAGCGAACGGGGAGGAGCCCAGAGCCUGAAUCAGCAUGUGUGUUAGUGGAAGCGUCUGGAAAGGCGCGCGAUACAGGGUGACAGCCCCGUACACAAAAGCGCAUGUGCUGUGAGCUCGAUGAGUAGGGCGGGACACGUGGUAUCCUGUCUGAAUAUGGGGGGACCAUCCUCCAAGGCUAAAUACUCCUGACUGACCGAUAGUGAACCAGUACCGUGAGGGAAAGGCGAAAAGAACCCCGGCGAGGGGAGUGAAAAAGAACCUGAAACCGUGUACGUACAAGCAGUGGGAGCACAGGUUUACCUGUGUGACUGCGUACC
RNAcentral lists this ribosomal RNA (576 nucleotides) under Salmonella enterica subsp. enterica serovar Infantis. Its description in RNAcentral is "partial 23S ribosomal RNA". It matches the Rfam family "Bacterial large subunit ribosomal RNA", at positions 1 to 605 of the family's 2925-position model. Lineage: Bacteria; Pseudomonadati; Pseudomonadota; Gammaproteobacteria; Enterobacterales; Enterobacteriaceae. The record is from RNAcentral.